AGUGAACGCUGGCGGUAGGCCUAACACAUGCAAGUCGAACGGCAGCACAGUAAGAGCUUGCUCUUACGGGUGGCGAGUGGCGGACGGGUGCGGAAUACAUCGGAAUCUACUUUUUCGUGGGGGAUAACGUAGGGAAACUUACGCUAAUACCGCAUACGACCUACGGGUGAAAGCAGGGGAUCUUCGGACCUUGCGCGAUUGAAUGAGCCGAUGUCGGAUUAGCUAGUUGGCGGGGUAAAGGCCCACCAAGGCGACGAUCCGUAGCUGGUCUGAGAGGAUGAUCAGCCACACUGGAACUGAGACACGGUCCAGACUCCUACGGGAGGCAGCAGUGGGGAAUAUUGGACAAUGGGCGCAAGCCUGAUCCAGCCAUACCGCGUGGGUGAAGAAGGCCUUCGGAUUGUAAAGCCCUUUUGUUGGGAAAGAAAAGCAGCAGGUUAAUACCCCGCUGUUCUGACGGUACCCAAAGAAUAAGCACCGGCUAACUUCGUG
This 492-nucleotide ribosomal RNA is filed under the name uncultured bacterium. RNAcentral's name for it is "partial 16S ribosomal RNA". It matches the Rfam family "Bacterial small subunit ribosomal RNA", at positions 29 to 507 of the family's 1533-position model. The record is from RNAcentral.